Molecule: ribosomal RNA, 493 nt
Filed under: uncultured bacterium
Lineage: Bacteria
Description: partial 16S ribosomal RNA
Rfam family: Bacterial small subunit ribosomal RNA
Source: RNAcentral
GACGAACGCUGGCGGCGUGCCUAACACAUGCAAGUUGAGCGACGAACCAGGGCUUGCCCUGGGGCAAAGCAGCGAACGGGUGAGUAACACGUGGGUAACCUACCCCGAUAACCGGGACAACCCGAGGAAACUCGGGCUAAUACCGGAUGUGCUCACUGGACUUCGGUUCAGUGCGUAAAGGAAGCUUCGGCCUCCGUAUCGGGAGGGGCCCGCGGCCCAUUAGUUUGUUGGUGAGGUAACGGCUCACCAAGACUGCGAUGGGUAGCUGGUCUGAGAGGACGAUCAGCCACACUGGGACUGAGACACGGCCCAGACUCCUACGGGAGGCAGCAGUGGGGAAUCUUGCGCAAUGCGCGAAAGCGUGACGCAGCAACGCCGCGUGGGGGAAGAAGGCCUUCGGGUUGUAAACCCCUUUCAGGAGGGACGAAGGUUCGGCGGUGAAUAGCCGUCCGGACUGACGGUACCUCCACAAGGAGCCCCGGCUAACUACGUG